GCAAAGUGCUGCGCAACUGUAUUUAAUUAUAUUUCUCCGAGUGAGUGUUAAGUGAGUGCGACGAAUGAACAGUAAUCAAAGAAGAGGAGGAGAAGGUCUGGGAGGUAUCGGGUAACAGUGGAGCAAUUAUGGCAUCAAUGCAGCUAUGAUGCAAUCAUAAUUCCACUGCUGCGCGUCGUAUCGAUGGAGAAUUUUUCGGUGGAAUACAUAAGGAGCAAUAACGAUUGGGCACCGUAACCAACGCCCCGUGGACUCAUGCUGUCCCGCCGAGAAAGAGAGGGAGAGAGAAAGACAAGGAAAGAGCUUGUUUGGAAGGGGACUUGACGAAAUUGAAACGAA
Molecule: long non-coding RNA, 339 nt
Organism: Atta colombica
Lineage: Eukaryota; Metazoa; Arthropoda; Insecta; Hymenoptera; Formicidae
Exons: 4
Source: RefSeq, a predicted model, not a curated record